This 253-nucleotide ribosomal RNA is filed under the name uncultured bacterium. Its description in RNAcentral is "partial 16S ribosomal RNA". It matches the Rfam family "Bacterial small subunit ribosomal RNA", at positions 524 to 776 of the family's 1533-position model. The record is from RNAcentral.
UACGUAGGAUCCAAGCGUUGUCCGGAAUUACUGGGCGUAAAGCGCGCGUAGGCGGCUUUGUAAGUUAGAGGUGAAAGCCCGGGGCUCAACCCCGGAAUUGCCUUUAAGACUGCAUCGCUUGAAUCCGGGAGAGGUGAGUGGAAUUCCGAGUGUAGAGGUGAAAUUCGUAGAUAUUGGGAAGAACACCGGUGGCGAAGGCGGCUCACUGGCUCGUAACUGACGCUCAUGCACGACAGCGUGGGGAUCAAACAGG